Triticum urartu is the source of this 133-nucleotide non-coding RNA. Lineage: Eukaryota; Viridiplantae; Streptophyta; Magnoliopsida; Poales; Poaceae. The record is from Rfam.
AUUAUACUCCCCCGUCCGAAAAUACUUGUCAUCAAAAUGGACAAAAAGGGAUGUAUCUAAAACUAAAAUACAUCUAGAUACAUCCCUUUUAUCCAUUUUGAUGACAAGUAUUUCCGAGUGGAGGGAGUAUAUA